RNAcentral lists this ribosomal RNA (496 nucleotides) under uncultured bacterium. RNAcentral's name for it is "bacterial SSU rRNA". It matches the Rfam family "Bacterial small subunit ribosomal RNA", at positions 29 to 506 of the family's 1533-position model. The record is from RNAcentral.
AGCGAACGCUGGCGGCGUGCUUAACACAUGCAAGUCGAACGUGAAAGUAGCAAUAUGAGUAAAGUGGCGUACGGGUGAGUAACACGUGGGUAAUCUACCUUAGAGUCUGGAAUAACGUGCCGAAAGGCGCGCUAAUACUGGAUAGUUCAAGCGCAUCGUAGAGGUGCGAUUGGGAAAGGGAGCUCGUAAGAGCCUUCGCUUUAGGAUGAGCCCGCGUCUGAUUAGCUAGUUGGUGAGGUAAUGGCUCACCAAGGCGACGAUCAGUAGCUGGUCUGAGAGGAUGAUCAGCCACACUGGAACUGAAACACGGUCCAGACUCCUACGGGAGGCAGCAGUGGGGAAUCUUGCGCAAUGGACGAAAGUCUGACGCAGCCACGCCGCGUGAGUGAAGAAGGCCUUCGGGUUGUAAGCUCUGUCGGAGGGGACGAAAACGUACAUUAGGUUAAUAAGCUAGUGACUUGAUGGUACCCUUAAAGGAAGCACCGGCUAACUUCCG